Aptenodytes forsteri (emperor penguin) is the source of this 2700-nucleotide long non-coding RNA. RefSeq lists it as uncharacterized. The transcript has 5 exons. The record is from RefSeq and is a predicted model, not a curated record. Lineage: Eukaryota; Metazoa; Chordata; Aves; Sphenisciformes; Spheniscidae.
AGCUGGUCUUCCAGCGUCACCAGGACCAGAGCGAGUUCCUUGCUUCCAAAACAACCGUGCCCACAUGGAGGCAGCCUCAGAACCUGCAGGAAACAGCCACGUACCAGGCUUGAUCAUGCUGAAUCAACAGCAUUGCUGAUGUCUCAGGUAUCCGGUCCCCAUCACAUCAGCAUACCUGCCGCAGGGGCACGGCUCCAAGCCCAUCCCUUUCCUCGGCUCAGAAGCCCUACGCAGCAACUGCAUCUCAUCAACAAAUUGCUGAUCAGUCACCCAGGGUCACGGAGUGGGAAAGAAGCCACAGCAACCAAACUGCAGGAGACAGGAGCCAAACGUGAGCAUAUCACACUCAGAAUAUGAACGUAAAUGUCAGCGACUGCCCUAAAACCUUCCACAUUCUCCUCUGUUUCUCCCAUCUUAUCACCUAGGACCGAAAUUGAAGAGCCAGGUCUUGAAGGAGGAGGCGUGUAUCAGCUUUCUUGUGUGUCCUACUUUUAUUACACUCCCAGUCUUGCAGUCUUCCCCUGACAUCCUUCCCAAACUGCUGGAGAAGAUGAAGUUUCCAGUGGGAAACUUCUGGUCAGCACAGUGGUGGACCUCCUGCCACUUUCACGUAGUAAGAAAAUCAAGUGUGUCUGCACUAACUGCAUAAAAACUAGAAUUGCUACACCCUGUCAGCUGCAGCAGUACGAGGAUUAGCCCAGGAUGGGACCUCUCAAAACAUGAGAUGUUAUCUUUUACGUCCAUAUGUUGCAGCCGUUCAUAGCUACCUCAAAGGCAGGACGAGGUAGCUGUGUAAUUGUUUUUACAUCUUUCAGAGUUUCCAUUCCCUAUUUAAAGAUGCAAAGGGCUGGCAUGCCAGCACUGUAACAGAAACACAGACAGCAGGGCUGGAAGUGAUCUCGGAAAACCACGUAAAUUCUCUCACCUCUUGCCCCAAGCAAAGCACUCGCUGCCUCAGUUUUCUCCUCUGUAAAAUAUGGCUAUUACUGAUUCAUAACAUCUGCCUGAUGGAGGAGUUUAAGCAUCACUGAAUGGGCUGAUGCGGCUCAUGGCAGGAGAAACUUUAUUCUCUGAGACCAGCCAGCACCUCUUCAGCCUCACCUGGCUCUUCUGCAGGGAGAAUGCAGGAUUACAUGGAAGGAGAUAGAUUAGAGGUUGGAAAUAGCACAGGCAAAGUGGGAAAGAAGCGGUUGUGGAGGAGGAUCAUGGAUACAAUCUAAAUUUCCAUCUAUGAGAAAAUAAUCCACUGUAAAUAUCACUUAGCUGAACAGGAUCACUUGCCUGCAUCUGCAGAUAGUCUGAAAUAAGAGUGGUAUGACCAACUCCAGCCUCACACAAGCCGGUAUCAGCUCAAUUGCAAAUGCUCCCUCUCUUUAAUUACUACAGGACUGAUUACUGCAAGCGAAGAAAAAGAUACUCUGUUUAGAUCUGAAGGGUCUCGAGCUCGCAGUCUCACGUUUUGCCAUGAUCAAACAAUAACAUUUCAGUUACAGAAAGAGCUCGUAUCUCCUGGCUCCAGUCUUGUGCCUGGUAAGGAGUAAUAAUUCAUGUUUAGAAAGUACUACAUAAAACUCUAUCUCCAGAGGUUGUCAGGUUUACAUUGCAAAAAUAUAGGGUAAGCAGCACGGCUAUUAAUUUUUAAUAACUACCUCAGUAAUGAUUAAAAAAAAAUGGGGGAAAAAAUGGCAAAGGGACUUGGGAAAAAAAAAAAAAAUCACUUGCUCACCACUGAAAAUGCUCAUCUGCACUUUGUCACAUUCUUGUCAUCUUUGACUCAUUUCCUGAGCGGACCUUGUAGCUGCCUGUGCGGUUGUGGUUUUACACCGUUGUGAAAACACCAUAAAACAAGCUGGGUUUUGUUAGAGGCUUUUGUAGGGGGUUGGUUGUUUGUUUUAACAACGUUGGUUCUGAUUCCCCAAUGUCGUUAGGACUAUUUAAAUGUUUGUCAUCACAACUCCAGCAAAACGUUGGUUUCUUAGGAAGUUGUAAGAUAUCAAAAUAGCCAAAGAAACAAACACAAGAAUAAAUCAAACCAGAAACCCAAAAUCUUAACUGUGCUUUACUGCGGGAGGUGUACACUGUAUGAAUACACCAUGAGCAAAUACCAGAGUUCAAUGACAAUGAAAAUACAAUUCAUUUUCCAACAAACACAAGAAGAAGCAUGUCACUAAUGGGCACGUCGUGAAGUGGAGAGUUACUUGGGAUUUCCUCGAAGAGACGGAAGACUCUUGACAGAUCAGUAGGCUCGGAAAAUGUGCUGGCCUAUCUAGAUAAGCAUAUGCUGGGAAGGUAAGAAGGAAGAUUUUGAGGGAGAAGAUUCAAUCAGCUGUUUCUCUGGGAGGAAUAAUCCUCUGCGUUUAAUCUCAAUCUGUCCGUCACCUGCAGGCUUGGAAAGCACGUGAUAAAUGUUACAGUCAUUCUCAGAGAAACCACAUACACGUACCAUCGUGCUGGAGGAUUCUUGCAUCUGUAUAGAGCUGGAGAUGGUAUUUGCUGUGGUAUUUUUGAAGACUUUCCCCUAUUAUUGAAAGAGAUGACAAAAUUAAAGGUCUUGGGCAAAAUUUGGUCCUCUUGUUGCAAGAUCCUGAAGUGAUUAUGGGAGUUUUGCUGGAGUCGAGGGAAGGAUGGGGCAAGACAGCUUUGUGGGGGGUGACAUACACCUUGACAGUGUUGUAGAAUAAAGUAGACCUUUGGGUCAAG